GGAUUCCGUGACGCAGCUAACGCAUUAAGUUCCCCGCCUGGGGAGUACGGCCGCAAGGCUAAAACUCAAAGGAAUUGACGGGGACCCGCACAAGCGGCGGAGCAUGCGGAUUAAUUCGAUGCAACGCGAAGAACCUUACCAAGGCUUGACAUACACGAGAACGGGCCAGAAAUGGUCAACUCUUUGGACACUCGUGAACAGGUGGUGCAUGGUUGUCGUCAGCUCGUGUCGUGAGAUGUUGGGUUAAGUCCCGCAACGAGCGCAACCCUCGUUCUAUGUUGCCAGCACGUAAUGGUGGGAACUCAUGGGAUACUGCCGGGGUCAACUCGGAGGAAGGUGGGGAUGACGUCAAAUCAUCAUGCCCCUUAUGUCUUGGGCUUCACGCAUGCUACAAUGGCCGGUACAAUGGGCUGCGAUACCGUAAGGUGGAGCGAAUCCCAAAAAGCCGGUCCCAGUUCGGAUUGAGGUCUGCAACUCGACCUCAUGAAGUCGGAGUCGCUAGUAAUCGCAGAUCAGCAACGCUGCGGUGAAUACGUUCCCGGGUCUUGUACACACCGCCCGUCAAGUCAUGAAAGUCGGUAACACCUGAAGCCGGUGGCCUAACCCUUGUGGAGGGAGCCGUCGAAGGUGGGAUUGGUAAUUAGGACUAAGUCGUAACAAGG
Molecule: ribosomal RNA, 662 nt
Filed under: Microbacterium sp.
Lineage: Bacteria; Bacillati; Actinomycetota; Actinomycetes; Micrococcales; Microbacteriaceae
Description: bacterial SSU rRNA
Rfam family: Bacterial small subunit ribosomal RNA
Source: RNAcentral